UACGCAGGUGGCGAGCGUUGCCCGGAAUCACUGGGCGUAAAGGGGGCGUAGGUGGCCGUGUAAGUCCGGUGUGAAAAGCCACGGCUCAACCGUGGACCUGCGCUGGAAACUACAUGGCUUGAGGACGGUAGAGGGAGACGGAACUGCUGGUGUAGGGGUGAAAUCCGUAGAUAUCAGCAGGAACGCCGGUGGAGAAGUCGGUCUCCUGGGCCGUUCCUGACGCUGAGGCCCGAAAGCUAGGGGAGCAAACCGG
This 253-nucleotide ribosomal RNA is filed under the name uncultured microorganism. RNAcentral describes it as "partial 16S ribosomal RNA". It matches the Rfam family "Bacterial small subunit ribosomal RNA", at positions 524 to 776 of the family's 1533-position model. The record is from RNAcentral.